CUGAUCGCUUUUUGGAUAUGUUGUGCGCUCAGAUCAGGGCUAUUCAGGAAUAUGCAUAUGUUGUGAGGUUUCUGUAUUCGUUUCAUGUAUUUUUGGGGUAUGUUAAAAAUAUAUGUAAGUUUCUGUAUUUGAGAGAUAAUAGAGUUAUCCUAAUUUGGGCUCAAUUAUCUUUAUUUGGAAACCCCAUUCUAGGGGCAAUGCAUAAAAGUG
Non-coding RNA from Pelobates cultripes (western spadefoot toad), 210 nucleotides. Lineage: Eukaryota; Metazoa; Chordata; Amphibia; Anura; Pelobatidae. The record is from the annotation of a GenBank genome assembly.